GCUGGUGUGGCUCAAUGGACAGAGCAUCAGCCUGUGAGCUGAAGGGUCCCGGGUUCGAUUCCAGUCAAGAGCA
This 73-nucleotide transfer RNA is filed under the name Myotis davidii. It matches the Rfam family "tRNA". From Rfam's summary of the family: Transfer RNA (tRNA) molecules are approximately 80 nucleotides in length. Lineage: Eukaryota; Metazoa; Chordata; Mammalia; Chiroptera; Vespertilionidae. The record is from Rfam by way of RNAcentral.